UGGGAGGUCAAGUCUGCAGAUGGGCUGACA
Molecule: non-coding RNA, 30 nt
Filed under: Homo sapiens (human)
Lineage: Eukaryota; Metazoa; Chordata; Mammalia; Primates; Hominidae
Source: RNAcentral